RNAcentral lists this ribosomal RNA (253 nucleotides) under uncultured bacterium. RNAcentral describes it as "partial 16S ribosomal RNA". It matches the Rfam family "Archaeal small subunit ribosomal RNA", at positions 474 to 727 of the family's 1478-position model. The record is from RNAcentral.
UACCAGCACCCCGAGUGGUCGGGACGAUUAUUGGGCCUAAAGCAUCCGUAGCCGGUUUUACAAGUCCUCCGUUAAAUCCAACUGCUUAACAGAUGGGCCGCGGAGGAUACUACAAGACUAGGAGGCAGGAGAGGCAAGCGGUACUCAGUGGGUAGGGGUAAAAUCCUGUAAUCCUUCGGGGAGGACCAGUGGCGAAGGCGUCACGCUAGAACGGCUCCGACAGUGAGGGACGAAGCCCUGGGGCGCAAACCGG